RNAcentral lists this ribosomal RNA (468 nucleotides) under uncultured bacterium. Its description in RNAcentral is "partial 16S ribosomal RNA". It matches the Rfam family "Bacterial small subunit ribosomal RNA", at positions 28 to 507 of the family's 1533-position model. The record is from RNAcentral.
GACGAACGCUGGCGGCGUGCUUAACACAUGCAAGUCGAACGGAAAGGCCCUGCUUUUGUGGGGUGCUCGAGUGGCGAACGGGUGAGUAACACGUGAGUAACCUGCCCUUGACUUUGGGAUAACUUCAGGAAACUGGGGCUAAUACCGGAUAGGAGCUCCUGCUGCAUGGUGGGGGUUGGAAAGUUUCGGCGGUUGGGGAUGGACUCGCGGCUUAUCAGCUUGUUGGUGGGGUAGUGGCUUACCAAGGCUUUGACGGGUAGCCGGCCUGAGAGGGUGACCGGCCACAUUGGGGCUGAGAUACGGCCCAGACUCCUACGGGAGGCAGCAGUGGGGAAUAUUGCACAAUGGGCGGAAGCCUGACGCAGCAACGCCGCGUGCGGGAUGACGGCCUUCGGGUUGUAAACCGCUUUCGCCUGUGACGAAGCGUGAGUGACGGUAAUGGGUAAAGAAGCACCGGCUAACUACGUG